Molecule: ribosomal RNA, 253 nt
Filed under: uncultured bacterium
Lineage: Bacteria
Description: partial 16S ribosomal RNA
Rfam family: Bacterial small subunit ribosomal RNA
Source: RNAcentral
UACGAAGGGGGCUAGCGUUGCUCGGAAUCACUGGGCGUAAAGGGUGCGUAGGCGGGUCUUUAAGUCAGGGGUGAAAUCCUGGAGCUCAACUCCAGAACUGCCUUUGAUACUGAAGAUCUUGAGUUCGGGAGAGGUGAGCGGAACUGCGAGUGUAGAGGUGAAAUUCGUAGAUAUUCGCAAGAACACCAGUGGCGAAGGCGGCUCACUGGCCCGAUACUGACGCUGAGGCACGAAAGCGUGGGGAGCGAACAGG